This 392-nucleotide non-coding RNA is filed under the name Pongo abelii (Sumatran orangutan). Lineage: Eukaryota; Metazoa; Chordata; Mammalia; Primates; Hominidae. The record is from RNAcentral.
GGAUUUUAAAAAUUAUUCGCUAGAAAAAAGACCACGAACUUUGGAGUGGACAUCCUGAGACCUGCCUAAGAAAACCAUUAGGGUAAAGAAGUCACCCCUUCACCCCAGGACCAGGAAGCCUCCAGGAUGGCAUAAGCGACCAAACAGCUGGGAGCCAAGCACAGUGCAGGGGGCUUGGGGGCGGCGGCCGGAGGCUGGGUGGCCUCCAGAAGACACUCCCCUGAUUCCUACACCGAGGGAACACAUAUCAGCAAGCUAGGAAGGGAGGGGUGACCCAGCCCAACGCUCUAAACCAGGGCGCGAACCGGCGUUGAGCUGUGCAGCCGCGCCCUGGGCUCCAGUCCUCCCCUGCUGCAGACCCCACCGGAGCCAGCACCUGCCUCCCAGACCCU